GAGAGGCCUUGUUAGUCUUGUAAGUUUCAGAAGCAUCUUGAGACUUGUGAGUUGUCUACUCCCACAGCCUGGACACCAAGGGCUCCAGACAUUGUGAGAGUUUCCUUUUAUGUUAUGAUGGGAAUCAAGAACAACACUGCCUCGAGGAACCCAUUCCUGGACAACUGUCAGGAGUCAUCUAAGAAAGACUAAAGGAAUGCAAGCUCACAAACCAGACUGAAGUGUGUUCUUGCUGCUACUCAAAAUUGCGGGAACUGCCACAAUAACAGUCCAAGUGUGGUGAUGGAUUUUCUGAAAGUCCUCCUUGUCUUCAAAGGGACUGAACUUUCACCAGACCCUGCAGGCAACCUGCGAUCUUCCUGUUUACUCAGACAGGGUAAACUUAACUUGUCUUAAAGAGAACAAGUCCUCCGCCAAUCCAAGGAACUCAGUCAGCUAUGCUGGCAUAGCUGACAAGUGGAGGUCCCACUGAGAUCGGAAAGAUGAGGAAGAUUGCUGACGGGCCAUCUCUGGGACGCGCAUUAGGACAGGAAACGUAUUGGAUAUGAACCGAAGGUAAGUUUUCAGGGUAAGUAAAUGCCAUGGAUUUGGCACAUAGUAAGGAGUUGCUGGCUAAGCAACUAUCUACUCUUCUGGCUCAGCGGGAAACCGCAGUUGCAGCUAGGAUUAUUGAAGAAUUUAUGAAAGAAUUACAAAAAUUCUCUCCAUGGUUUGUGGCGAGCGGCACUUUUAAGCUGGAAGACUGGGUAAAGGUAAUAGGUGAUUUUCGUGCAGCUUUGGCCCUUUAUUCCUUAGAAAAAUCAGUUUGGGGCGUUUGUCUUCGCCUGUGGCGAUUUCUUUCUGUACAGUUUUCCUCCCUCUUCUACAUCUCUGGGUUGCAAAUGCCACCCUCCUUGCUGCUUUCGAGGAUUGCUUUC
Grammomys surdaster is the source of this 917-nucleotide long non-coding RNA. RefSeq lists it as uncharacterized. NCBI's taxonomy places the organism in Eukaryota, Metazoa, Chordata, Mammalia, Rodentia, Muridae. The record is from RefSeq and is a predicted model, not a curated record. The transcript is spliced from 5 exons.